Molecule: small nucleolar RNA, 123 nt
Filed under: Nannospalax galili (Upper Galilee mountains blind mole rat)
Lineage: Eukaryota; Metazoa; Chordata; Mammalia; Rodentia; Spalacidae
Description: Small nucleolar RNA SNORA30/SNORA37 family (ENSNGAG00000001779.1)
Source: RNAcentral
CUAGCUCGUUCACAGAUCCUCCCUUAGUGGGGCCAGGAUUUGGUAGCCGGUGCUGAGAGAAAACCCGAUUACAUCCUCGCCCUGAUACUGUAUCAGUGGCAUCUGUCUCUCAAGGGAACAGAG